GACGAACGCGGCGGCGUGCCUAAUACAUGCAAGUCGAACGCUUCUUUCCUCCCGAGUGCUUGCACUCAUUUGGAAAGAGGAGUGGCGGACGGGUGAGUAACACGUGGGUAACCUACCCAUCAGAGGGGGAUAACACUUGGAAACAGGUGCUAAUACCGCAUAACAGUUUAUGCCGCAUGGCAUAAGAGUGAAAGGCGCUUUCGGGUGUCACUGAUGGAUGGACCCGCGGUGCAUUAGCUAGUUGGUGAGGUAACGGCUCACCAAGGCCACGAUGCAUAGCCGACCUGAGAGGGUGAUCGGCCACACUGGGACUGAGACACGGCCCAGACUCCUACGGGAGGCAGCAGUAGGGAAUCUUCGGCAAUGGACGAAAGUCUGACCGAGCAACGCCGCGUGAGUGAAGAAGGUUUUUCGGAUUCGUAAAACUCUG
Molecule: ribosomal RNA, 430 nt
Filed under: Enterococcus faecalis
Lineage: Bacteria; Bacillati; Bacillota; Bacilli; Lactobacillales; Enterococcaceae
Description: bacterial SSU rRNA
Rfam family: Bacterial small subunit ribosomal RNA
Source: RNAcentral